GACGAACGCUGGCGGCGUGCUUAACACAUGCAAGUCGAACGGAAAGGCCCUGCUUUCGUGGGGUGCCCGAGUGGCGAACGGGUGCGUAACACGUGAGUAACCGGCUCUUGACUUUGGGGUAACUUAAGGAAACUGGGGUUACUACCGGAUAGGAGAUCCUGUUGCAUGGUGGGGGUUGGAAAGUUUCGGCGGUUGGGGAUGGACUCGCGGGUUAUCAGCUUGUUGGUGGGGUAGUGGCUUACCCAGGCUUUGACGGGUAGCCGGCCUGGGAGGGUGACCGGGCACAAUGGGACUGAGAGACGGCCCAGACGCCAACGGUGGGCAGAAGUGGGGAAUAUGGCACAAUGGGCGGAAGCCGGAUGCAACAACGCCGCGUGCGGAAUGACGGCCUGUUGGGAAAAAACCGCAUUAGCCUGUGACCAAGCGGGAGUGACGGUAAUGAGUAAAGAAGCACCGGCUAACUACGUG
Molecule: ribosomal RNA, 468 nt
Filed under: uncultured bacterium
Lineage: Bacteria
Description: partial 16S ribosomal RNA
Rfam family: Bacterial small subunit ribosomal RNA
Source: RNAcentral